Molecule: ribosomal RNA, 446 nt
Filed under: uncultured Rickettsiaceae bacterium
Lineage: Bacteria; Pseudomonadati; Pseudomonadota; Alphaproteobacteria; Rickettsiales; Rickettsiaceae
Description: bacterial SSU rRNA
Rfam family: Bacterial small subunit ribosomal RNA
Source: RNAcentral
AACGAACGCUGGUGGUAUGCUUAACACAUGCAAGUCGAACGAGCGUGGCCUAGCUUGCUAGGAUUCUGCUAGUGGCGCACGGGUGAGUAACACGUGGGAAUCUGCCUCAUAGUAUGGAAUAACAUUCAGAAAUGAAUGCUAAUACCAUAUAAUACCUCCGGGUCAAAGAUUUAUUGCUAUGAGAUGAGCCCGCGUUAGAUUAGCUUGUUGGUAAGGUAAAAGCUUACCAAGGCUACGAUCUAUAGCUGGUCUGAGAGGAUGAUCAGCCACACUGGGACUGAGACACGGCCCAGACUCCUACGGGAGGCAGCAGUGGGGAAUAUUGGACAAUGGGCGAAAGCCUGAUCCAGCAAUACCACGUGAGUGAUGAAGGCCUUAGGGUUGUAAAACUCUUUCAGAUAUGAAGAUAAUGACUGUAAUAUCAGAAGAAGCACCGGCUAACUCCG